This is a long non-coding RNA of Spea bombifrons (plains spadefoot toad), 490 nucleotides long. RefSeq lists it as uncharacterized. The record is from RefSeq and is a predicted model, not a curated record. The transcript is spliced from 2 exons. Lineage: Eukaryota; Metazoa; Chordata; Amphibia; Anura; Pelobatidae.
CAGUGUAUGGGCAAAUGUGUGACUGUACAUUUCUCAGCUGUUAUGUUUACUGUGUUUAUGGGGAGAAUACUACAUCAUGUCUAAUGUAUAUUCACAAAAGCAAGGUAUAUAACACAAUGGCCUCUAACUAUACCCCUCUUACCUACUUAAGAACUCAGUAAAUGCUAUUAUAGUUAAGGGUUGUUUCAAUAGGGUAUGUCCUAUAACCUACAAAAUUUGGAUAGCAAUGACCAAGAGAGAAAGCAUUCUUACACUGUUUUGUGAAUCUUCUACAUUUUUAUCAGGUAUCUAAACAAUGUGGUAUCAAAACACGAUGCAAAGUUCCGCUUAUAUUUUCACAUGUUUUAAACUGCUUUCAUAACCAAAGUUCUUAUUUUGUAUAUAGUACUGUAUAUUUCUUCCGUGUGUGUAUGCCUUCACGUUAUAUGCCAACCCUCUGCCACAAAAUGGUUGUAACUAUUUCAAUUAAAGUAAUACUAAUGCACUACAA